GGGGAAGUAGCUCAGUUGGUAGAGCGUCGCGUUCGCAACGCGGAAGUCGAGGGUUCAAGUCCCUUCUUCUCCACCA
Molecule: transfer RNA, 76 nt
Filed under: Planctomycetota bacterium
Lineage: Bacteria; Pseudomonadati; Planctomycetota
Description: tRNA-Ala
Rfam family: tRNA
About the family: Transfer RNA (tRNA) molecules are approximately 80 nucleotides in length.
Source: RNAcentral